Molecule: ribosomal RNA, 460 nt
Filed under: uncultured bacterium
Lineage: Bacteria
Description: partial 16S ribosomal RNA
Rfam family: Bacterial small subunit ribosomal RNA
Source: RNAcentral
CCUACGUGAGGCAGCAGUGAGGAAUAUUGGUCAAUGGGCUUACGCCUGAACCAGCCAAGUCGCGUGAGGGAAGACUGCCCUAUGGGUUGUAAACCUCUUUUGUCAGGGAGCAACGCCGGCUACGUGUAGCCGGACUGAGAGUACCUGAAGAAAAGGCAUCGGCUAACUCCGUGCCAGCAGCCGCGGUAAUACGGAGGAUGCGAGCGUUAUCCGGAUUUAUUGGGUUUAAAGGGUGCGUAGGCGGAAUGCCAAGUCAGCGGUAAAAUCGCGGGGCUCAACCUCGCUCCGCCGUUGAAACUGGCGUUCUUGAGUGGGCGAGAAGUAUGCGGAAUGCGUGGUGUAGCGGUGAAAUGCAUAGAUAUCACGCAGAACUCCGAUUGCGAAGGCAGCAUACCGGCGCCCAACUGACGCUGAAGCACGAAAGCGUGGGUAUCGAACAGGAUUAGAUACCCGAGUAGUC